This 67-nucleotide transfer RNA is filed under the name Microhyla pulchra. Its description in RNAcentral is "tRNA-Ser". Lineage: Eukaryota; Metazoa; Chordata; Amphibia; Anura; Microhylidae. The record is from RNAcentral.
GAGUAUGACUGGGAUAAUUGAGAAUUGCUAAUUCUCUUACCCGUGGUUCAAUUCCACGGCCUACUCG